GGGGGAUUAGCUCAUUUGGCUAGAGUAUCCCGAUGAAAAAUCGGGAAGGUGACAGUUCGAAUAUGGUAUUCUUCA
This 75-nucleotide transfer RNA is filed under the name Flavobacterium notoginsengisoli. RNAcentral describes it as "tRNA-Phe". Lineage: Bacteria; Pseudomonadati; Bacteroidota; Flavobacteriia; Flavobacteriales; Flavobacteriaceae. The record is from RNAcentral. RNAcentral also lists the same sequence under 1 other name.